This 72-nucleotide transfer RNA is filed under the name Lactobacillus delbrueckii. Its description in RNAcentral is "tRNA-Gly". It matches the Rfam family "tRNA". Rfam says of the family: Transfer RNA (tRNA) molecules are approximately 80 nucleotides in length. Their secondary structure includes four short double-helical elements and three loops (D, anti-codon, and T loops). RNAcentral also lists the same sequence under 1 other name. Lineage: Bacteria; Bacillati; Bacillota; Bacilli; Lactobacillales; Lactobacillaceae. The record is from RNAcentral.
GCGGAAGUGGUUCAGUGGUAGAACAUCACCUUGCCAUGGUGGGGGUCGCGGGUUCGAAUCCCGUCUUCCGCU